AACACGACUACAUUAGAUACCCGUGUAGUCCCAGCCCUAAACGAUGCGCGUUAGGUGUAUCGGUGACCACGAGUCACCGAGGUGCCGAAGGGAAACCGUGAAACGUGCCGCCUGGGAAGUACGGUCGCAAGGCUGAAACUUAAAGGAAUUGCGGGGGAGCACAACAACGGGUGGAGCUUGCGGUUUAAUUGGAUUCAACGCCGGAAAUCUUACCGGGACCGACAGCAACAUGAAGGCCAAGCUGAAGACUCUACUUGAUGAUCUG
RNAcentral lists this ribosomal RNA (265 nucleotides) under uncultured archaeon. RNAcentral describes it as "partial 16S ribosomal RNA". It matches the Rfam family "Archaeal small subunit ribosomal RNA", at positions 721 to 982 of the family's 1478-position model. The record is from RNAcentral.